Molecule: ribosomal RNA, 855 nt
Filed under: Amanita cf. suborientifulva
Lineage: Eukaryota; Fungi; Basidiomycota; Agaricomycetes; Agaricales; Amanitaceae
Description: partial large subunit ribosomal RNA
Rfam family: Eukaryotic large subunit ribosomal RNA
Source: RNAcentral
UGCGAGUGAAGCGGGAAAAGCUCAAAUUUGAAAUCUGGCAGUCUAUUUUUUCUUCUUUGGCUGUCCGAGUUGUAAUCUAGAGAAGUGCUUACCUGCACUGGACCAUGUAUAAGUCUCCUGGAAUGGAGCGUCGCAGAGGGUGAGAAUCCCGUCUUUGACAUGGACCGCCAGUGUGUUGUGGUGUGCUCUCAAAGAGUCGAGUUGUUUGGGAAUGCAGCUCUAAAUGGGUGGUAAACUCCAUCUAAAGCUAAAUAUUGGCGAGAGACCGAUAGCGAACAAGUACCGUGAGGGAAAGAUGAAAAGGACUUUGGAAAGAGAGUUAAACAGUAUGUGAAAUUGUUGAAAGGGAAACGCUUGAAGUCAGUUGUGUCGGCUAGGGAUCAACCUAGCUCUUUUGCUGGGUGAACUUCCUAUUCUGACAGGCCAACAUCAGUUUUGACCGCCGGAAAAGAGCGGAGGGAAUGUGGCACCUUCGGGUGUGUUAUAGCCCUUUGUCAUAUGUGGCGGUCGGGACUGAGGGAUGCAGCGUGCCGCGAGGCUGGGUUUCGACCACGUUCACGCUUAGGAUGUUGGCUUUUAAUGGCUUCAAUCGACCCGUCUUGAAACACGGACCAAGGAGUCUAACAUGCCUGCGAGUGUUUGGGUGGAAAACCCUUGCGCGCAAUGAAAGUGAAAGUUGAGAUCCCUGUCGUGGGGAGCAUCGACGCCCGGACUUGAGCUUUCAGCGACGGAUCCGCGGUAGAGCAUGCAUGUUGGGACCCGAAAGAUGGUGAACUAUGCCUGAAUAGGGCAAAGCCAGAGGAAACUCUGGUGGAGGCUCGUAGCGAUUCUGACGUGCAAAUCGAUCGUCAAAUU